UUGUGUUAAGAGGCAGUGUGUGUGUUGUAUAUAUGCUGAUGUAUGUUGUAGUAUGCUGACGUAAUCCAUAUUUGUUCACUUCUAGGAUCAGGAUCUUGUUAAAACCCUGAGUUGUUUAACUAUGAUAAUCACCCCUGUGUUUGCUGAGCUCAAGCAGCAAGACACAAAUAAUGCUAACAGAAAGAAAGCAAUUGAAGAACUUGAGAAAAGCAUCAAUGUGGCAGAAGCAACGUGUCCAGGGAUCACAGAUAAGAUGGUGAAGAAACUUAUGGAGAAAUUUCAGAAAUUUUCUGUUAAUGACUCAUCCUAAGAAACUUCACACAAUUGACUGCUCUUUCGUAUGGACCCAGUGAAACCCAC
Cyanistes caeruleus (blue tit) is the source of this 360-nucleotide non-coding RNA. NCBI's taxonomy places the organism in Eukaryota, Metazoa, Chordata, Aves, Passeriformes, Paridae. The record is from RefSeq and is a predicted model, not a curated record.